AUUCUUAUAGCUUAUGAAGAGCGUAGUAUUGAAGAUACUAAGGAGAUAAUAAUAAUCUUUGAAUA
This 65-nucleotide transfer RNA is filed under the name Symplocodes ridleyi. RNAcentral's name for it is "tRNA-Phe". Lineage: Eukaryota; Metazoa; Arthropoda; Insecta; Blattodea; Blattellidae. The record is from RNAcentral.